Molecule: long non-coding RNA, 709 nt
Filed under: Marmota monax (woodchuck)
Lineage: Eukaryota; Metazoa; Chordata; Mammalia; Rodentia; Sciuridae
Source: RNAcentral
UUCAGGGGAGUCAGACUCGGCACCCUGGUUCUGGGAAAGCGGAUCUGCAAAGGAGAGGGUGCUCCAGAUGGUACCCCGAGCCAGCGCCACCGCUGCUCUGAGCCUGAAUCCAGCCAGCGCCGCCCCCUCCCCGGGGGGCUGUGGGGAGCAGGCUGAACUCCAUCCGACCACCUCCUGGAUGGACCCAGGGUUGUGCAGGUCUGGGAGUCAGGGGUGCUGGGACCUGGGGCUGGCCCCGUCCUUGGUUCCCUGUUGCUCCUGGGCCAAUCUACUUGCUUCUCUGGGCCUCAGUUUCUCUAUCUGUAAAGUGAAGACGUUGAUCGUUAAAGGGAAUCUUAGGUCCAGAAAGCUGUGACGCUUCGGGCCUCGUUUUCCCCGAUUAGGAUGCUCUACUUUCCGGGAUGCUGUGACGAUCCCGAGGGGCCCAGACCUGCUCCUUGGCAUGUGAGUGAAGUAAACAGGAGAAGAGGUGUCAUCACAGGCACGUGGGUGAGGACAGGGCUGGGCCCCUCCGGGCUGCUGGGAGGGAACGAGAAACCCAAGUGUCUUCUCCAGCCAGGUAGCACUGGAGGCGGAGGGCGGGUUACAAGUCUGGAGACCCUGGGUUUCUUCCCCUUAAAUUGGGGAUAGUUCCUUGGGUCUCAGUUGUGGUUCUCAGAGUAACUGUGAACUGCGGCUCCACAGCACCCCAAGGCAAGGAGGGGAACUG